GGAAAAAACCGAUAUUCAGCGUACGUAGAUCUUCAAUAAUCGGAAGAUCUAACGUGACGGUGGAGGUGUACAGUAAUCCGACGGAGGAGUAUCAGAUCGAAGGAUCAUUUGCACAGAGAAAUUGCACAUUCUUCAACGCGGACAAGGUAUCUGUGGCUGAGAUUCGUCGCAAAGUGGAUGCUUGUGCUCAUGUGGUGCUUGGAAAAGACGUUUUCUCUCUCUCAAUAAAGCCUGGGUUUGAUUGUGCCUUUGCCAUGGGAUUAGUGCUCGUGCUUGAUCAAAUUCAAGUUGAUGAUUUUGCUGAAAAUCGGAUCGAUGCCG
RNAcentral lists this unclassified non-coding RNA (321 nucleotides) under Hevea brasiliensis (rubber tree). The record is from RNAcentral. Lineage: Eukaryota; Viridiplantae; Streptophyta; Magnoliopsida; Malpighiales; Euphorbiaceae.